UACGUAGGGGGCAAGCGUUGUCCGGAUUUAUUGGGCGUAAAGAGCGUGUAGGCGGUUUGGUAGGUCCGCUGUGAAAACUCGAGGCUCAACCUCGAGACGCCGGUGGAAACCAUCAGGCUAGAGUCCGGAAGAGGAGAGUGGAAUUCCUGGUGUAGCGGUGAAAUGCGCAGAUAUCAGGAAGAACACCCGUGGCUAAGGCGGCUCUCUAGUACGGUACUGGACGC
RNAcentral lists this ribosomal RNA (224 nucleotides) under uncultured bacterium. RNAcentral's name for it is "partial 16S ribosomal RNA". It matches the Rfam family "Bacterial small subunit ribosomal RNA", at positions 524 to 746 of the family's 1533-position model. The record is from RNAcentral.